Molecule: transfer RNA, 83 nt
Filed under: Megalops atlanticus (tarpon)
Lineage: Eukaryota; Metazoa; Chordata; Actinopteri; Elopiformes; Megalopidae
Rfam family: tRNA
About the family: Transfer RNA (tRNA) molecules are approximately 80 nucleotides in length. Their secondary structure includes four short double-helical elements and three loops (D, anti-codon, and T loops).
Source: Rfam by way of RNAcentral
GUCAGGAUGGCCGAGCGGUCUAAGUCGCUGCGUUCAGGUCGCAGUCUCCCCUGGAGGCAUGGGUUCGAAUCCCACUUCUGACA